CUUCUGCAGAAGUUUAAGAAUCAUUUUCCCAUGAACCUGUGAUGACAUCAAAGGAAAGCACUCAGUAUCGCUCUUUCAUGUCAUGAAGAGGACUGUUGUGUUUGGAGUCAUUUGCUAUGCACGUCAUGUGGAUACAGCAACAGGAACGCAAACAGAACCAACAGGAUCUCUAUGGACUCUUUCCCUCUGUCCACGAAAUCACCGUUGAAAACAUAUGGUGUCUCUGCUGAGGGAAAACCAUUCUAGUAUAGAACAGAAGUCAGUUACUGGCAUAUUCUAAUUCAGUGAACUGUGGAUAACAGAAUUUUACUGACUUUGUAAAAGAUCAACAGCAGAUCCUCAAGAUGACCAUGUGCACACGUGACUGAUGUUGGGCAUCAAGCGCAGGAGCGUCCACGUCUUACCCAGCAGCUGGAGCACGUACCGCGCAUG
Long non-coding RNA from Carassius auratus (goldfish), 432 nucleotides. RefSeq lists it as uncharacterized. Lineage: Eukaryota; Metazoa; Chordata; Actinopteri; Cypriniformes; Cyprinidae. The transcript is spliced from 3 exons. The record is from RefSeq and is a predicted model, not a curated record.